This is a long non-coding RNA of Oxyura jamaicensis (ruddy duck), 718 nucleotides long. RefSeq lists it as uncharacterized. Lineage: Eukaryota; Metazoa; Chordata; Aves; Anseriformes; Anatidae. The transcript is spliced from 3 exons. The record is from RefSeq and is a predicted model, not a curated record.
CUCAAAGCCUCGCUGCUCUUUACCUCUGAUGGUUCCAUAGGGUUCGAUGUCUCGCAGCGAUGUCUCUGAAGAGACAACAGAGAAAGGCAAAUAAAGGAUGGGGAUUCACUAACCUUGUCUGACAAAGCACAUGGCUUGUCAGUAAUGUUUGGACAUCAAGAAGCAGAAUGUUUCAGAGAACCAGGAGAACAUUCAUCAUUACAUUGUAGUAUCAGCUGAAUUCUCGCCGUUCUCCCCCCACAUGGCAAAGAAAAUGAAGAUGAAUUAGUACAACUGGCUGCUGUGGUUUGAUAGGAACCAGAAGAAGCUAACUGGAAUGAGCAAGCGGGAGCUUGUGGUGGCGGGGCCAGGCUGCCGGGCAGCCCUGCAGUCGCGUGCCCCUCUGCAGAGCCUGCCGUGGUCGGCUCCAUCUCUUCUCCCCCAGUUCCUUGAACUGACUUAAUGUUAGCCAGGGAACGUGAUGAGUGGUAGGAGGGAAAGCAGCUUUCUUCCUGCUGGGUGUUGUCUUGUUACUGGGCACCUGGCUGGUGGGGUCCUAAUUUCUAGUUAGGGUCCCAGCCGGUAAAAGUCAGGAUUGCACCGUGGGCUCCCAUGAAAUGACACUACUUUACACCAGACUUAUUUCUUCAGACCUUGUUUUCCUCCCUUCUUUCCUCGGGAAAAGUUUUCUAAUCCUUAAGCAGAGGGUAUUUCAGAGGGCUCGGAGCAUGGCAUGGGC